UACGUAGGGUGCAAGCGUUGUCCGGAAUUAUUGGGCGUAAAGAGCUCGUAGGCGGUCUGUUGCGUCGGCUGUGAAAACCCGGGGCUCAACCCCGGGCUUGCAGCCGAUACGGGCGGGCUGGGAUUCGGUAGGGGAGACUGGAAUUCCUGGUGUAGCGGUGAAAUGCGCAGAUAUCAGGAGGAACACCGGUGCGAAGGCGGGUCUCUGGGCCGAUAUCGACGCUGAGGAGCGAAAGCGUGGGGAGCGAACAGG
Molecule: ribosomal RNA, 252 nt
Filed under: uncultured bacterium
Lineage: Bacteria
Description: partial 16S ribosomal RNA
Rfam family: Bacterial small subunit ribosomal RNA
Source: RNAcentral